Molecule: ribosomal RNA, 521 nt
Filed under: uncultured microorganism
Description: bacterial SSU rRNA
Rfam family: Bacterial small subunit ribosomal RNA
Source: RNAcentral
GAGUUUGAUCCUGGCUCAGGAUGAACGCUGGCGGCGUGCCUAAUACAUGCAAGUCGAGCGAACAGACGAGGAGCUUGCUCCUCUGACGUUAGCGGCGGACGGGUGAGUAACACGUGGAUAACCUACCUAUAAGACUGGGAUAACUUCGGGAAACCGGAGCUAAUACCGGAUAAUAUAUUGAACCGCAUGGUUCAAUAGUGAAAGACGGUUUUGCUGUCACUUAUAGAUGGAUCCGCGCCGCAUUAGCUAGUUGGUAAGGUAACGGCUUACCAAGGCAACGAUGCGUAGCCGACCUGAGAGGGUGAUCGGCCACACUGGAACUGAGACACGGUCCAGACUCCUACGGGAGGCAGCAGUAGGGAAUCUUCCGCAAUGGGCGAAAGCCUGACGGAGCAACGCCGCGUGAGUGAUGAAGGUCUUCGGAUCGUAAAACUCUGUUAUUAGGAAGAACAAUGUGUAAGUAACUAUGCACGUCUUGACGGUACCUAAUCAGAAAGCCACGGCUAACUACGUGCCAGCCC